GCCGAAGUGGCGGAACUGGUAGACGCGCAUGAUUCAGGGUCAUGUGGGGGUAUCCUCGUGGGGGUUCGAGUCCCCCCUUCGGCACCA
This 87-nucleotide transfer RNA is filed under the name Nitrospinae bacterium RIFCSPLOWO2_12_FULL_45_22. Its description in RNAcentral is "tRNA-Leu". It matches the Rfam family "tRNA". Rfam says of the family: Transfer RNA (tRNA) molecules are approximately 80 nucleotides in length. Their secondary structure includes four short double-helical elements and three loops (D, anti-codon, and T loops). Lineage: Bacteria; Pseudomonadati; Nitrospinota. The record is from RNAcentral.